GACCCUAUAGAAUUUUAUAUUUUUAUUUAAAAAGGUAUUAGUAUUUAAAAUUUUUUAAAGAAAAAAUAUUUGGUUGGGGUGAUUGAAAAAUUAAAUAAACUUUUUUUUAAUUGAAACAUCUAUAAAUGAGUAUAUGAUCCUAUUUUUAGAUUAUAAGAUAAAAUUACCUUAGGGAUAACAGCGUAAUAUUUUUUGAGAGUUCUAAUCGAAAAAAAUGCUUGCGACCUCGAUGUUGGAUUAAAAUUAAAAUUUGGUGUAGAAGCUAAAUUAUUAGGUCUGUUCGACCUUUAAAAUUUUACAUGAUCUGA
This 308-nucleotide ribosomal RNA is filed under the name Tychiodes sp. D0077. Its description in RNAcentral is "partial large subunit ribosomal RNA". The stretch from base 174 to 308 matches the Rfam family "Bacterial large subunit ribosomal RNA", at positions 2473 to 2608 of the family's 2925-position model. Lineage: Eukaryota; Metazoa; Arthropoda; Insecta; Coleoptera; Curculionidae. The record is from RNAcentral.